Molecule: ribosomal RNA, 490 nt
Filed under: uncultured bacterium
Lineage: Bacteria
Description: partial 16S ribosomal RNA
Rfam family: Bacterial small subunit ribosomal RNA
Source: RNAcentral
AGUGAACGCUGGCGGCAGGCCUAAUACAUGCAAGUCGAACGGCAGCACAGUGGAGCUUGCUCCAUGGGUGGCGAGUGGCGGACGGGUGAGGAAUACAUGGGAAUCUGCCCAGUCGUGGGGGAUAACGUAGGGAAACUUACGCUAAUACCGCAUGCGCCCUUCGGGGGAAAGCCGGGGACCUUCGGGCCUGGCGCGAUUGGAUGAGCCCAUGUUCGAUUAGCUAGUUGGCGGGGUAAAGGCCCACCAAGGCGACGAUCGAUAGCUGGUCUGAGAGGAUGAUCAGCCACACUGGGACUGAGACACGGCCCAGACUCCUACGGGAGGCAGCAGUAGGGAAUAUUGGACAACGGGCGCAAGCCUGAUCCAGCCAUGCCGCGUGAGUGAAGAAGGCCCUCGGGUUGUAAAGCUCUUUUGUCCGGGAAGAAAAGCAUCGGGCUAAUACCUCGGUGUUCUGACGGUACCGGAAGAAUAAGCACCGGCUAACUUCGUG